UUUUUCUAUUAAAAUUUGUUCAUGGAAGCUCAAUUUCCAUAUGUCAAAUGGCACUAUAUAUUGAAGAGAUUUUAAAGAAAUCUUUUUUACCAAUCUUAUUUACCAAAUUUACCAAGUAUAAUUUAGCAUUACUUUUCCAUUGGAUAAAUUACAUUUUGAUAAAAUUAAUGAGCUUGAAUUAAUAAAUUUCCAAAAGUCACAAUUUAAAAUAUUUUUAAUACCAAAACUUUAUACAUAAUAUUUCAUGUGUCACAAAAUCAUAGGCCUAUAGCAAAUAUAAUAUGCCUUGAGUGAACAAUAAAAACUUCAUAUACUUUCAUUGUAGAUCUGGACUGUAGGUGAAACCCAAUAUAUAAGCUGUAUAGUUCUCUAAUCAAAGAAAAUAUGUGUCAUUAUGGUUUUAGGAAAAAAUAUAUAUCUAAGUUGAUACUAUUCUUCAUAGUAAAGCCUCAAGUUCAAAUCUAUUGCUAGGAGCCAGUGCACUGGCUCACACUUUUGAAUUUCUACCUAAUUUGAAAAAUACAAUUGAGGUAUUUGGAGUAUUAUAGUACUUGCUAUUAAAAGCCACUACAAUUGUAUAUAUUUGACUGUGAUAUGUUGUUUUGAAAAUGGAAAAAACAUUGACAUAUAAGCCUAUAUUUUACUUGCCAAAAAAGCUGAUUAAAUGUUGGCACCUGACAGUAUUUCUAGAGAGUGUUAUUUCUUCCAUAGAUUCAGACCCCAAAAAGUUAUAUAACAAUUUGAAAGAUUAAUAUGAUAUGCCCUGAAAACUUGUAAUAAACUGGCAACUGUUCUUUUGGGAUGUGAUUCCCAUUUAAUAGAGGCAUACUCUCAAAAAACAUUUUCUGAAAUAACUCAUAAGGUCCAAUGGAUAGUGACAACAUUUUGUAUCAAGUAGUCCGUUAGUCCUAAAUCCAUUCAUUCAUUCGACUAACUUUUUUUCAUUGCCUUUGUGCCUUCCCAGGUUUCAAGGUCAUUUAUCCAUUCAACAAAUAUUGCAGCAUGGCUAUUUAGCAAUGUUCCAGAUGCUAAACAUGUAAUUACAAAUUUUUAAAGAGUGAUUACAUACUAUGAUGAAAAAUAAUGGAAUGAGGAGGAGAAAGUUCCUACAUAGCAAAGGUAGUCAGGAAGGCCAAGAGGAAAGGUCUCCAGAGGCAAUGUGUGGAAUGGGAAUUAGAAAAUGAGAAUGACCUAGCCAUGGGAAGAAGAGCAUUUGGUUUCUCCACUAGCAUGUGAAGAACUCAAGGCAGAAAGAUACUCAGCAUACUGGAAACAGUAAGUGGAGCCCAGCACUGCAAUAGUAUAGCCAGAGAUCAAGGGAGGAAGGAUCUGGGGCCAGCUGGGAUGGAAGAGCAAGAAACCCACUGCUCAAGGACUUACAGGCCAUGGUGAAGAGUUUUUAUCUUAUUUCCAGGGCAGUAGAAAGGAUAGGAUAGGAUAGGAUAGGAUAGAUAGGAUAGAUAUAGAUAGAUAGGAUAGGAUAGAUAGGAUCUCUCAGGAAUGAAACACUCUGUGAAAUUUUUUUAACCUCCAAAAAUUCUGGGAACUUUGGUUAUAACCCAAUGUAUGAAGCAGCAGUUGUUAACAAUAUCAAAUACAAUCCUAUAUCAUUAUUUGGGGAAUAAUUCAGGUCUCCUGAAUUUUCUCAACUGAAAAUUGCAUACUUUGGAUAUGAGUUUAUGGCUUUUGUUCCCUGGAACUACUGGAACAAUUAUCUUCCUGAAAACAAAUGCUAACUUGGUUUGCUUCAGCUAACAGGUGAGGGACUUGCUUUUGGAAGCAAAGAUAGGUAACGUUCCCUAUAAGAACAGUUUUAUCCUAUGAGUUUGACUAUUCACAUAGUAAAACAAAUUCAUCAAUGAGAUUGUUUCAUUUAAUUGUAUCAGCUGUUUAAAUAUCCAACUGAAUAGUUUAAGGGCAUCACAAUGCAUUAAAAGGAUUGAAUAAGGUAUUUUGAGUCUAUUAAAAACUGUUGAAUAGUAUACGUUUAUAGAUUACUUCUUUAUAUUAGAAAUACAAACAUUAUUUUUAGUGAAGAGUAAGAAUAUUCAAAUAAAAUAUCAUUUAAGUUUUAAGAUUUUUUUAAGUUAACUGAUUAGCUCUCCUUUGGGAAGAUAAAAAUAUGUUCUUUAAAACCAAAAGGGGGGAGCUCUGUUGUGGCUCAAGGGAAACAAAUCUGACUAGUAUCCAUGAGGGUACAGGUUCAAUCCCUGACCUCGCUUGGUGGGCAAAGGAUCUGGUGUUGCCAUGAGCUGCAGUGUAGUUCAGCAGACACGGCUUGAAUCCUGUGUUGCUGUGUCUGUGGCAUAGGCCAGAGGGUACUGCUCCAAUUAGACCCCUAGCCUGGGAACCUCCAUGUGCUGUGAGUGCAGCCCCCCCAAAAAAAGGAGCUCUAAAGAUUGGAUAAGCUGUUGGAAUCAAUAUUAGUAAGCUAAAACCAAAACCACAACUUUGAAAUUAAUAAAACACUACUAUUAAGCUAAAUUACAAGGUGUUUCUGCUGACUGAGAUAUUUAAUCACAAGUUUUAUUGUACUUUUUUAGCUCCUUAAAGACAAAUCAUUACAGCACUGUGAAUUCUAGAUAUUAAAACACAUGAUUAAUAGCAACAUGCUUUAAAAUUACCAUGGAAGUGCUGUAGUUGACAUUUUUAAUUGGGGCUUCCCUUAGUGAAUUUAUCACCAAACAAAUAUCUUUCGUCUCUUAAAAGAAUAAUAUCUAGAUUCACCCCUUCCUGGAGAUUUAUAUUUAACCAUGUGAAAGAUGAAAAUAAGGCUACGAGGAAUGCUUAAUACAUGUGCAUGUAGGAUUUUUCACUUAAUGUCAAGAGUGCACUUUUAUAAAUGCAUUCAAUAUUUUGGUUUCCAUUAAAAGUGUUUUGAUAUGAGUGAUCUAGACUUCUUUUUAUAUACUGAAAUGCCUUUUAAAUGUCCAAUCUGAUAAAGCAAAUUAAAAGUGAGAGAGUUAAAACUGUCACUUUAUAUAAGACCUCAUCAAUUUUAUGUAAAUAUCAACACACUACAUUAAAAGUUCUUUACUAAGGUAACUGCCUAUGAGACAGCAGAUCACUAAGUAAGUUUUGAGACAGACCUCCUUGUAAGAAUAUCAAAAUAGGUGACCCUGAACACACCGAAACUAUAAAUAAGGCUUGGAACGAGGAGUUGUGAGAGGGUUUUCUGAAGAAGAUUUCUCUGAGGAAUGCAAAUCUUCCCCUCCAGUCAAUUUUAGUGAAGCAGUUUCUGUAGGCACACCUUGACUUUGACUCCUGACUGGACAGUGACCAAUGACACACGCGGAUGAGCUAUCUGCUUUAGCAUCAGAUUUAAGGAGCGCUCCCCACAAGGUUGAUAUUUGCUUGAAUGUCCAGAGUUCGUUACUACAAAGAAUGUAUGAGUAUGAACCAUGGGACUAUAUAACUCCAGCAUGAAGAGGAGCUGUCUAAAGGAGCCCUUGGGAGGGUUAUGGAGGGCAUGAGAGUGUGUGGAAUAGAUGCCCCCAACAUGCAAGCUGACAGUAGUGCAGCUAAAAAAAAAACCUAUUCCCCAAUGCACAGGAAGUGUAUUUGACUGUUCUCAGUGGGGACCUCUAAUGUGCAUCCAAAAGCACCCUAAGAGAUUAAACUGACUACCUACCCUAAGAUAGUGGGAAGCCAGCUGAAGAAAAUAGUCAAAGGAGAACUUCCUUAUAUCCUAACUUCUGCCUAUUGCAACUUUGAUAUUGUGUUUUAGAAACUGCCCUUAGAAAGAUGCUGGAGGAGCAAUGCAAGGCCUAGAUGGAGAAGGACAGACGGUUUUCCCUUUUUCUCCCUUGGCCAUGGAAUAUUAGCUGUAGCAGAAAUGAGUUUAGAUGGAUAGGCAGCAGUCAGUUAUGCAAUGCCUCUAGGACAUUUAAGAACAUAAACUUUGUGUUUUAGUGCAUCUAUAGGUUCACAACAAAACUGAGUGGAGGGUACCAAGAUUUCCCAGUACUCCCUUCCCCUACAGUCAUAGCCUCCCUCAUUAUCAAUAUCUCUCAUCAGAAUGGAACAUUUCCUACAAAUGAUGGGCUUACACCGACACAUUAUUAUCACCCAAGUGCAUUAGGAUUCAUUCUUUGCAUUGAGCAAUCUCUGGGUUUCGGCAAAUGUAUAAUAACAUCUAUCAACCAUUAUUGUUUCAUACCAUAUAUUAUAUGAUACAUAUAUGGUGCAUGUAUGAUACUAUGAUAGUGAAUACAUGUCUUCACACAUACCAUAGUAUUAAAAUAUAGAAUAGCUCCACCACUCUAAAAUUCUCUGUGCUCUGCCUAGUCAUCACUAGCCCCUGGCAACUACUGAUCUUUUUAUUGUUUCCAUAGUUUAAUCUUCUCCAGAAUGCCAUAAAGUUGAAAUCAUAUAGUAUGUAACCCUUUUUCAGAUUGGCUUCUUUUACUUAAUAAUAUACAUUCAAGUCUUUUCAUGACUUGAUAGCUCACUUAGUUUUAGCAUUGAGUAAUAUUCCAUUACUGACAUGACGGAAUUUAUGAUUUAAAAAAUAUAAUCCCAGCUUAUUUAUGGGGAAAAGGUUAGAGAGGGAUAAGAAUAAAUUUCAAGAAAACAGUUGGGAUGCUAGUGCAAUUGCUCUGGUAUGAGAGGAGAAAGCCACAUUCUGGGGUGGCAGCAAUGGAGAUGAACUGAAUAAGAUGAUUUAAGACUAUGUCUAUGAGGUAAAAGUAGUAGUACUUGUCGAUGAAUCAGACUUGGGAAAUUAUAGAAAGAGGGGUCAAGAAUGACUUCUGGAUCUUUGGCUUGAGCAAUUGGAUGGAUGAGGGUAUUUAACAAGGGUGGGUGGUGAAACAAGGCUGGAGGUCCCACUGGAAUAGCUUGAUUCCAAGCCAAAAAUUCAGCCCCUCAGAAAAUUCUAUUAGAGGGAUAUAAAAAUCCUCACCAAGCAUAAAUCUCAUUUCCUUUUCCUUGCAGAUUGUUGGCCACUCCUCCUAGGCUCCAGGGAUAUGAAUAAUGCCCUUAAUAAUGUCAGAUAAUUUCCAUCGGUCCUUAAUUGCCCACUGAUCUGUUUCCCUGUCUUAACCAUCUUCUUGAUGGUGUUCCCAGCCACUACUAAACUUAACAUUUUACAGCCAGCAAUACUAUCAUUUUCCCUUUUUUCAAACUUUUCAUUUUUUGUUUUUUGCAAACUUCUAUUAUUUGCAAACACUUAUAUCAGGUAAAAUGGUCAAAGUUGUUUGUUGGAACCCUAAAUAAAUAGCAUAAAAGAUGCCAUAAUAGACUGCUAGCAUCAUUUACAGUAGGUUGUAUUCAUAGCUAUGUAUUCAUAGCUUUGGCUAACAUUGUAUGUAGCCCAUCACAUUAGUACCCAUGGAUUAAAAGCUUAAAAGAGCAUUCAGAACAUAUAAAUAAUAAGCUAUAAUACUCUUUCUAUAUACAUUUUAAUUUUUUAUAAAAAUUAUUGAGAGACUAAUAGUAUUAAAAUCAGUCAGCGAUCAAUGUUAGUUUCUUGGUUUUGAUAAUAGGACUAUGGUUACAGAAGGUUAAUAUUGGGGGAAGCAGAGUCAAGAAUAUAUGGAAACUUGGAUAAGCAAUGAGAUCCUGUAGCACUGGGAACUAUAUCUAGUCACUUGUGAUGGAACAUGAUGGAGGAUAAUAUCAGAAAAAGAAUGUAUAUAUGUGUGUGUGUGUAUGUGUCUGUGUGUAUGUGUGUGUGAAUGAGUCACUUUGCUGUACAGUAGAAAAUUGACAGAGCACUGUAAACCAACUAUAAUGGAAAAAAUAAAAAUCAUUAAAGUCACAUAAAAAAGAAUAUAUGGAAACUCUAUGUACUAUUUUGUAACAUUUCUGUAGGUCUAAUAUUAUCUCAAAAUAAAAAGUUAAAAAGUAUAUCAUAAUUUCCAGGGCAAGGUUAAAAGGAAAAUAUAUAUACAAGAUAUCUGAAAAAGACAGGUAUUCAAAUAUCAACAUUAUAGGGUUUUAACUCAGUAUUAUGUCUUUACUUAUUCUUGAUUUAAUGCAUGAGUUCACUUACAGCCAGAAAUCAAAUCUAAUUAAAUUAUCUUAAAAUAGAAUGGGAAUAUGUAAUAAAUAUAUGACCACAUAAAAUGUCUUGAAGCUUAAUAAAUAAACUGGAAUUAAAAUUAACUUAAAAAUUUGCAAAGGAGCUACAAAUCCACUGUAAAUAUAAAGAAAAACUUGCUUUACAUUAUAGAUAUUUUGCCCUUGUUCUUAGGAAAAAAAAAUUAUAAAAAUUAUAAAUUCCCUGAAUUCAAAGAAGGUAUCUUUUAGAUUUACCCAAUAUAUUCAACACAAAAUCAUUUUUCUGUUUACUCAGGUACAAAGUUUCAGAGUCCUCCUUAACUCUUUCUUCUCCAUUUUUUUCUUUCAUCUGAACAGUUCCUGUGUCAUGCCAAGCCUUCAUCUUCAUUAUCUUCGCUUUUAUCUCAUGUUCCUCUAAGAUCCCACACAAGAAUAUUCUUCUAAAUACCAUACUUAUUUUUCCUGACUCAAAUGAUCCAUUUUUACAUAUAUGAGACCGAUCAUUUAUUAAAAAUUAUAGAUCUGGUCAUGUUCAAAAGCUUUCAAAUAGGAGUUCCUGUCGUGGCGCAGUGGAAAGGAAUCCAACUAGGAAUCAUGAGGUUGCGGGUUCUAUCCCUGGCUUUGCUCAGGGGAUGAAGGAUCUGGUGUUGCUGGGACCUGUAGUGUAGGUUCCAGACACAGCUUGGAUCCAGUGUUGGAGUAGGCCAGUGGCUACUGCUCCAUUUCAACCCCUGGCCUGGGAACCUCCAUAUGCCGCAGGAGCGGCCCUAGACAAAAGACAAAAAAAAAAAAAAAGAAAUAUGACUUAAUUAUAAUUGGUUCUCCGUUAUAGAAACCAUAUGUCUCAUUUAUUCUGCAUACUGUUCAAAUUUCCAAAUGAAGGAAAGCACAACCUAUACACCUAUCUUCAGUCCACCUUUUUUAGAAUACUAUUCUGUCACUGUAUUUACCAUCUAAUAUUUAUUGGCCCCUGCAUAUGGUUGUUUGGGCAGUACUCUCUAAAAGGGACACUGGCCAGGAAGGUGAGUAAGGCUGAAAUCAAUCUUGUACUCUGCUCACCAAACUAUG
This 7071-nucleotide long non-coding RNA is filed under the name Sus scrofa (pig). Its description in RNAcentral is "lncRNA (ENSSSCG00055010081.1)". Lineage: Eukaryota; Metazoa; Chordata; Mammalia; Artiodactyla; Suidae. The record is from RNAcentral.